UACGAAGGGAGCUAGCGUUGUUCGGAAUUACUGGGCGUAAAGCGCACGUAGGCGGAUUUGCCAGUCAGGGGUGAAAUCCCGGGGCUCAAUCUCGGAACUGCCUUUGAUACAGCAAGUCUUGAGUUCGAGAGAGGUGGGUGGAAUUCCUAGUGUAGAGGUGAAAUUCGUAGAUAUUAGGAAGAACACCGGUGGCGAAGGCGGCCCACUGGCUCGACACUGACGCUGAGGUGCGAAAGCGUGGGGAGCAAACAGG
This 253-nucleotide ribosomal RNA is filed under the name uncultured bacterium. Its description in RNAcentral is "partial 16S ribosomal RNA". It matches the Rfam family "Bacterial small subunit ribosomal RNA", at positions 524 to 776 of the family's 1533-position model. The record is from RNAcentral.